UUUAUGCGUCGAAUCUUGGUCGCGUCGAAUGCAAUUAAGACAAUAGAUGAUGAGAUGAUAAACCUGAUUAAGCUUCAUUAUCUAUUGUUUGAAUUGCAUUCGACGCGACCAAAUUCGACGUAUAAA
Non-coding RNA from Paramuricea clavata, 126 nucleotides. The record is from the annotation of a GenBank genome assembly. NCBI's taxonomy places the organism in Eukaryota, Metazoa, Cnidaria, Anthozoa, Malacalcyonacea, Plexauridae.